AUGAACGCUGGCGGCGUGCCUAAUACAUGCAAGUCGAGCGAACAGACGAGGAGCUUGCUCCUCUGACGUUAGCGGCGGACGGGUGAGUAACACGUGGAUAACCUACCUAUAAGACUGGGAUAACUUCGGGAAACCGGAGCUAAUACCGGAUAAUAUAUUGAACCGCAUGGUUCAAUAGUGAAAGACGGUUUUGCUGGCACUUAUAGAUGGAUCCGCGCCGCAUUAGCUAGUUGGUAAGGUAACGGCUUACCAAGGCAACGAUGCGUAGCCGACCUAAGGGGGGAUCCGCCCCCCCGGAACUUAGACACGGUCCCCGCCCCCACGGGAGGGCAGCGUGGGGAAUUUUUCCCCAUGGGGCAAAGCCCGACCGAGCCAACCCCGGUGUGUGAAUAAGGUCUUCCGAUUGUAAAACCCUUUUUUUUGGGAAAAAAAAAAGUUGGAAAAAACCUUGCCCGUUUUGCGUUUCCCAAAGCAAAAGCCCCGGCUUACCUCCUU
RNAcentral lists this ribosomal RNA (495 nucleotides) under uncultured bacterium. Its description in RNAcentral is "partial 16S ribosomal RNA". It matches the Rfam family "Bacterial small subunit ribosomal RNA", at positions 29 to 507 of the family's 1533-position model. The record is from RNAcentral.